This 72-nucleotide microRNA precursor is filed under the name Medicago truncatula (barrel medic). Its description in RNAcentral is "MIR2629 microRNA precursor family". It matches the Rfam family "MIR2629 microRNA precursor family". The record is from Rfam by way of RNAcentral. Lineage: Eukaryota; Viridiplantae; Streptophyta; Magnoliopsida; Fabales; Fabaceae.
UGCCGAGGAAAUUUUCAGUAGUUAACUGCAGCCGGUUUUCUAAAAUUUCGGCAGUUAACUACCGAGGGGCAU